RNAcentral lists this long non-coding RNA (1352 nucleotides) under Triticum aestivum (bread wheat). RNAcentral describes it as "long non-coding RNA (TAES_LNC002533)". Lineage: Eukaryota; Viridiplantae; Streptophyta; Magnoliopsida; Poales; Poaceae. The record is from RNAcentral.
GCCAUCUUUAGUGCCCACUGAAUUAUACAUGAGUCUGGCUCAUAAAAAACUACAACCCACAUUAUAGUGCUUCCUCUUACAGUUCGAUCGUCGCUGCCUUCAUGUUAUGUAGGGUUUCUGAGAUUCCGACCUGCAGGUAUACCGAAUCAUUGUACGUGUUAGCAUUCAUAUUACCAACUUAUCAUCCGCCGAAUUUGUUGUGGAUAAGCAAUUUCUCCAACCAUUAUAGAGGAGAGGGGAAGCAAACGCAAGUAAAUGUGGCUGAACCAGAACCAUUUCUUCCGUUGCUUCAGAUUAAGUACUAGCUAGUGUCAUCAUUUAAGCAAUUUCAGUAAGAGUAUUUAUUUAUAGAGGAGAGGAGAACCAAGUGCGCUGCAUGCGCUUGGUCGAUCUGAGCACAGCUGGGGAUGAAUGUACCUUCCAAAUCCAAAUGGACCAAUCACUAUUUAGAAGAAGAGUUGGUGUCUUGUAGUUGUCCUGUGUAUACGUAAGGUUGUCAGAUAAGUAAUCAAGGUGGUAUAUGCUAUGCAAGGUUAAAGUAUAAGGUGUUGGUCAAAGCUUUUUACCUGAAACACUUGGUCUCUAUGGAUAUGCAGUAUUAGACAGUGGCAUCAGAAUCAUAGAUUAAAAUAGCCCGCGAAAUAGCCGCGAUAGCUGCGCUAUAGCUGCCCGGGAGCCUCGCCGCUAUGCCAUGGCUGUUGCCGGGAAAUCCUCCACAGAUCCCUCUUAAUGGCUGAACAAUGAGCAAAACCCUCCCGAAAUCAUCACUCCCAUCAGAAAAAUUUCCGCUAUUUGCCGCGGUUGCCCGCUAUGGCGGCCGCUAUAGCUGCUGGGAGAGGCUGCCGCGAAAUUGUUUCUCCCGCGAUUUUAAUCUAUGAUCAGAAUGCAGGCAUAUGCGCCUCUGCCUCGGUCAUGCUCUUCAAAGCCUGUCUGAAUUUCAACCUUUGCGAACCUGAAGUCAUUGGCAACAUGGCAUCGGCAAUCUGCUGAGAACCACAAUCAGAUGUGCUUGGCGUCUCCAGGUGGGGCAUAUGCUAACAGUUAGCAGCAAAUGUUCACAACUCCACCCCACAACCCACAUACGCAGAGUUAACUCUAAGCAGGUACAGGAAGUAGUAGAGAUGAAGCAAGCAACAAUAUUUACUUCCGGGAUAUAUAUUAUCAGCGGAUCCAUGAACACAAACUCUGCUCUGGGGCGUAAUUGCUGCCCCUGACGCACAUCCAGAUCUCUCCCCCUCCACCUCCUCUGCUCCUUCCUCGUCUCCGUCAGCGCGGGCAAGUCUCGCCCCCUCUCCUCCAAGCCCCAGCCGUGGAGAUUGAUGAGGCAUCUGCUAAAAUUUGGAGAUUCCAAC